AACGAACGCUGGCGGCAUGCCUAACACAUGCAAGUCGAACGAGAUCUUCGGGUCUAGUGGCGCACGGGUGCGUAACGCGUGGGAAUCUGCCCUUUGGUUCGGAAUAACAGUUGGAAACGACUGCUAAUACCGGAUGAUGACGAAAGUCCAAAGAUUUAUCGCCAGAGGAUGAGCCCGCGUAGGAUUAGCUAGUUGGUGUGGUAAAGGCGCACCAAGGCGACGAUCCUUAGCUGGUCUGAGAGGAUGAUCAGCCACACCGGGACUGAGACACGGCCCAGACUCCUACGGGAGGCAGCAGUAGGGAAUAUUGGACAAUGGGCGAAAGCCUGAUCCAGCAAUGCCGCGUGAGUGUUGAAGGCCUUAGGGUUGUAAAGCUCUUUUACCCAGGAUGAUAAUGACAGUACCGGGAGUAUAAGCUCCGGCUAACUCCGUGCCAGCAGCCGCCGCGG
This 449-nucleotide ribosomal RNA is filed under the name uncultured bacterium. Its description in RNAcentral is "partial 16S ribosomal RNA". It matches the Rfam family "Bacterial small subunit ribosomal RNA", at positions 29 to 523 of the family's 1533-position model. The record is from RNAcentral.